This 437-nucleotide ribosomal RNA is filed under the name uncultured Oscillospiraceae bacterium. RNAcentral's name for it is "bacterial SSU rRNA". It matches the Rfam family "Bacterial small subunit ribosomal RNA", at positions 341 to 792 of the family's 1533-position model. The record is from RNAcentral. Lineage: Bacteria; Bacillati; Bacillota; Clostridia; Eubacteriales; Oscillospiraceae.
ACGGGAGGCAGCAGUGGGGAAUAUUGGGCAAUGGGCGAAAGCCUGACCCAGCAACGCCGCGUGAAGGAAGAAGGUCUUCGGAUUGUAAACUUCUUUUAUGAGGGACGAAGGAAUUGACGGUACCUCAUGAAUAGGCCACGGCUAACUACGUGCCAGCAGCCGCGGUAAUACGUAGGUGGCAAGCGUUAUCCGGAUUUACUGGGUGUAAAGGGCGCGUAGGCGGGAAAGCAAGUCAGAUGUGAAAUCCAUGGGCUCAACUCAUGAACUGCAUUUGAAACUGUUUUUCUUGAGUGUCGGAGAGGUAGAUGGAAUUCCUAGUGUAGCGGUGAAAUGCGUAGAUAUUAGGAAGAACACCAGUGGCGAAGGCGGUUAGCUGGACAGUAACUGACGCUGAGGCGCGAAAGCGUGGGUAGCAAACAGGAUUAGAUACCCUGGUA